RNAcentral lists this ribosomal RNA (469 nucleotides) under uncultured bacterium. RNAcentral describes it as "partial 16S ribosomal RNA". The stretch from base 54 to 469 matches the Rfam family "Bacterial small subunit ribosomal RNA", at positions 39 to 507 of the family's 1533-position model. The record is from RNAcentral.
GGGGGGGGGGGGGGGGGGGGGGGGCGGGGGGGGGGGGGGGGGGGGGGCCCGGGGUGGGGGGUGGUCGGGUGGCGAGCGUGUGAGUGACACGUGGGUGAGCUGCCCCUGACUUUGGGCUAAGCCUGGGCACCUGGGGCUAGUCCUGGCUCGGACCAUGCUGUGGGUGUGGUGGUGGGCAGAUUAGUUUCUGUCCGGGAUGAGCUCGCGGCCUAUCAGCUUGUUGGUGGGGUAAUGGCCUACCAAGGCGUCGACGGGUAGCCGGCCUGAGAGGGUGGACGGCCACAUUGGGACUGAGAUACGGACCAGACUCCUACGGGAGGCAGCAGUGGGGAAUAUUGCACAAUGGGCGCAAGCCUGAUGCAGCGACGCCGCGUGGGGGAUGACGGCCUUCGGGUUGUAAACUCCUUUCAGCCAGGACGAAGCCCUUGUGGUGACGGUAGUGGUAGAAGAAGCACCGGCUAACUACGUG